AGCGAACGCUGGCGGCAGGCUUAACACAUGCAAGUCGAACGGGCACUUCGGUGCCAGUGGCAGACGGGUGAGUAACACGUGGGAACGUACCUUUCGGUUCGGAAUAAUCCAGGGAAACUUGGACUAAUACCGGAUACGCCCUUCGGGGGAAAGAUUCAUCGCCGAUAGAUCGGCCCGCGUCUGAUUAGCUAGUUGGUGAGGUAAUGGCUCACCAAGGCGACGAUCAGUAGCUGGUCUGAGAGGAUGAUCAGCCACAUUGGGACUGAGACACGGCCCAAACUCCUACGGGAGGCAGCAGUGGGGAAUAUUGGACAAUGGGCGCAAGCCUGAUCCAGCCAUGCCGCGUGAGUGAUGAAGGCCUUAGGGUUGUAAAGCUCUUUUGUCCGGGAAGAUAAUGACUGUACCGGAAGAAUAAGCCCCGGCUAACUUCGUG
Molecule: ribosomal RNA, 433 nt
Filed under: uncultured bacterium
Lineage: Bacteria
Description: partial 16S ribosomal RNA
Rfam family: Bacterial small subunit ribosomal RNA
Source: RNAcentral